UCCAGACUCCUACGGGAGGCAGCAGUGGGGAAUAUUGCACAAUGGGGGAAACCCUGAUGCAGCGACGCCGCGUGAGGGAAGAAGGUUUUCGGAUUGUAAACCUCUGUCCUUGGUGACGAAAGAAGACGGUAGCCAAGGAGGAAGCCACGGCUAACUCCGUGCCAGCAGCCGCGGUAAUACGGAGGCUGCGAGCGUUAUCCGGAUUUAUUGGGUUUAAAGGGUGGGGCGGCGGGCUGUUAAGUCAGCGGUAAAAGCCGGGGGCCCCACCCCGGACGAGCCGUUGAAACUGGCGGGCUGGAUUUGGAGAGAAGUACGCGGAAUGCGCGGUGUAGCGGUGAAAUGCU
RNAcentral lists this ribosomal RNA (344 nucleotides) under uncultured bacterium. RNAcentral describes it as "bacterial SSU rRNA". It matches the Rfam family "Bacterial small subunit ribosomal RNA", at positions 330 to 690 of the family's 1533-position model. The record is from RNAcentral.